ACCGGACCGACAGCAAUAUGAAGGCCAGGCUGAAGACUUUGCCGGAUUAGCUGAGGAGGUGGUGCAUGGCCGUCGUCAGUUCGUACUGUGAAGCAUCCUGUUAAGUCAGGCAACGAGCGACGACCCACCGCCCACAGUUGCCAGCGUACUCUCGUGGAGUGGACGGGUACACUGUGGGGACCGCCGCUGCUAAAGCGGAGGAAGGAAUGGGCAACGGUAGGUCAGUAUGCCCCGAAUAUCCCGGGCUACACGCGAGCUACAAUGGUUGGUACAAUGGGUAUCCACCCGAAAGGGGACGGGAAUCUCCUAAAACCAAUCUUAGUUCGGAUUGAGGGCUGCAACUCGCCCUCAUGAAGCUGGAAUCCGUAGUAAUCGCGUUUCAACAGAACGCGGUGAAUACGUCCCUGCUCCUU
This 413-nucleotide ribosomal RNA is filed under the name uncultured Methanosaeta sp. RNAcentral's name for it is "bacterial SSU rRNA". It matches the Rfam family "Archaeal small subunit ribosomal RNA", at positions 929 to 1338 of the family's 1478-position model. Lineage: Archaea; Methanobacteriati; Methanobacteriota; Methanomicrobia; Methanotrichales; Methanotrichaceae. The record is from RNAcentral.